RNAcentral lists this ribosomal RNA (406 nucleotides) under uncultured prokaryote. Its description in RNAcentral is "bacterial SSU rRNA". It matches the Rfam family "Bacterial small subunit ribosomal RNA", at positions 355 to 774 of the family's 1533-position model. The record is from RNAcentral.
UCGAGAAUCUUCCGCAAUGGACGAAAGUCUGACGGAGCGACGCCGCGUGAUUGAUGAAGCUUUUCGGAGUGUAAAGAUCUUUUAUGAGGGAAGAAGUUUAUUGACGGUACCUCAUGAAUAAGGGGCUCCUAAUCUCGUGCCAGCAGGAGCGGUAAUACGAGAGCCCCGAGCGUUAUCCGGAAUUAUUGGGCGUAAAGGGUGCGUAGGUGGUUGUGUUAGUCGUUUGUUAAAUCCUUGGGCUUAACCCAAGAACUGUGAACGAAACGGCACAACUAGAGAGUGUGAGGGGUAUAGGGAACUCAUGGUGUAGGGGUGAAAUCCGUUGAUAUCAUGGGGAACACCAAAAGCGAAGGCACUAUACUAGCACAUGUCUGACACUCAAGCACGAAAGCGUGGGUAGCGAAUG